RNAcentral lists this unclassified non-coding RNA (253 nucleotides) under uncultured delta proteobacterium. RNAcentral describes it as "contains 16S-23S intergenic spacer region". It matches the Rfam family "Bacterial small subunit ribosomal RNA", at positions 524 to 776 of the family's 1533-position model. The record is from RNAcentral. Lineage: Bacteria; Deltaproteobacteria.
UACGGAGGGACCAAGCGUUGUUCGGAAUCAUUGGGCGUAAAGCGGGUGUAGGCGGCUUUGCAAGUCAAGUGUGAAAUCCCAGGGCCCAACCCUGGAACUGCACUCGAUACUGCAUCGCUCGAGUCCCGGAGAGGAUGGCGGAAUUCCAGGUGUAGAGGUGAAAUUCGUAGAUAUCUGGAGGAACACCAGUGGCGAAGGCGGCCAUCUGGACGGUGACUGACGCUCAGACCCGAAAGCGUGGGGAGCAAACAGG